GUGUCCUACGGGAGGCAGCAGUGGGGAAUAUUGGGCAAUGGACGCAAGUCUGACCCAGCAACGCCGCGUGAAGGAAGAAGGCUGUCGGGUUGUAAACUUCUUUUAAGGGGGAAGAGCAGAAGACGGUACCCCUUGAAUAAGCCACGGCUAACUACGUGCCAACAGCCGCGGUAAUACGUAGGUGGCAAGCGUUGUCCGGAUUUACUGGGUGUAAAGGGCGUGCAGCCGGAGAGACAAGUCAGAUGUGAAAUCCACGGUCUCAACCCGGGAACUGCAUUUGAAACUGUUUCCCUUG
Molecule: ribosomal RNA, 295 nt
Filed under: uncultured bacterium
Lineage: Bacteria
Description: partial 16S ribosomal RNA
Rfam family: Bacterial small subunit ribosomal RNA
Source: RNAcentral